RNAcentral lists this ribosomal RNA (348 nucleotides) under uncultured Ascomycota. RNAcentral describes it as "SSU rRNA". It matches the Rfam family "Eukaryotic small subunit ribosomal RNA", at positions 1326 to 1698 of the family's 1831-position model. Lineage: Eukaryota; Fungi; Ascomycota. The record is from RNAcentral.
CGAUAACGAACGAGACCUUAACCUGCUAAAUAGCCCGUAUUGCUUUGGCAGUACGCCGGCUUCUUAGAGGGACUAUCGGCUCAAGCCGAUGGAAGUUUGAGGCAAUAACAGGUCUGUGAUGCCCUUAGAUGUUCUGGGCCGCACGCGCGCUACACUGACGGAGCCAGCGAGUACUCCCUUGGCCGGAAGGCCCGGGUAAUCUUGUUAAACUCCGUCGUGCUGGGGAUAGAGCAUUGCAAUUAUCGCUCUUCAACGAGGAAUCCCUAGUAAGCGCAAGUCAUCAGCUUGCGUUGAUUACGUCCCUGCCCUUUGUACACACCGCCCGUCGCUACUACCGAUUGAAUGGCU